AGACGGAGGAGAAGGCCAAACGAGAGCAGGAGGAACAGCAGGAGGCAACAGCAGAAAACCAGGAGCACAAAAAAGACCCAGAGCUGUCGGGACCAAAGGAAGACAGGGGGGGAGAGGACGACCCGGAGCCAGGGGGGGUAAAUGGACCCCCAGAAGAAAGUCCCCAUGACAAAUCAAAUAACGAAGAGGCACAUCAGAACUUACAGAACGGAGAAGUGUCUGAAGAGGCAGAAUCACCAGCAGAUGAAGACAAGAGAACACGCGAUGAAAGUGCAAAUGCCUAGAGUGACUUCCAGUGGCGUCUUGAGGCCAGACACAGAGCGAUGAACUUGCCAUCAGGAGAGCGCUCGGUUCUGAAGGACUACGGCACCCUCUAGAGGACACGGCUAAUGCUUAGUGUCCGGCCUCUAUCCCCUCCAAAUCUCCAGACUUUCAUAAGACUGAUCUCUCUGAAUGAUGAAGGACAAAACGGACGAGAGACAACAGCUGCUUUUGUCUGGUCUGUUUUAUUUACAGAACCAGAUUUCCUUCCCAAACCUUUAAAGUGCAACGGUUGCAUCCACUAAGAAAAGCAUGCAGCAGCUGAACGUAAGGAUUCUUAUUAAAACCUCCAUUUCAAAUGCUUUCUAUGUUUUUCCGCAGCCUUGCAGUCAGAUCACUUGGUAUGUGUAUAAAGCUCAAACUGUGAUUUAUAUCUAAAUAUACAUAUAUAUAUAUAUAUAUAAUAUGUGGCCUGCAGUAAACUGUACAUAACUAAUCUUAGCAGCAUUUGCACCUGUGAACAAUAUUCGGCUUUUGACAAUAGCGAUGUUGUGUUCAGCUAUUUGAAAUGCACUCUUCCUGACAUGGACUGAUGCAUUUCAGCAAACAUGCUCCGACACACGUUUGUUCACCUCAUCUGCUAAUAGAGGGCGCAUAUAUGGAACCCUAUGUAUAUGUAUUACUAUUGUAAAUGACUGUCUGCGUUUAGAUCAGAGCUUUUAUAACUUGAGAAAAGCCGUACGAAGUGGCAGUAUUUCCUAUUCGUGCACAUCUGUGUGCGGCUGUGGAGUAGAAAACGCCUGAUCCUAAGAUUUUUCCUUCUCUCGCUUACCUUCGGAUGCCUUUCUUCAUGUAGUCUUUCUGAAAGCGAACCGAACUGAAACGUCUUCUACAGGAACACACAAACUAGCAGUCACCGUAGACGAUGUAAGUCUUAUAACUGACCAUAUAGUAGUGUGUAAGUCAUAGCCAUAUCACUGUGCUCGCUCCGCAAUACCUGUAUAUUACACCGUAUGUCAUUUUUGCUGGUUUCCUGGGGGUUUGUGACAAGCUUUUCUCUGUCCUUUGAGCAGGUCAUCUCAAGAAACCUGAAGAGAACAUGUCCAGGGCAUGUAUCACCCUGAAAUCAAACAUAAACAAAUGUGACCCUGGAGCACAAAACCAGUCUUAAGUUGCUGGGGUAU
This is a long non-coding RNA of Sinocyclocheilus grahami, 1445 nucleotides long. RefSeq lists it as uncharacterized. The transcript is spliced from 3 exons. Lineage: Eukaryota; Metazoa; Chordata; Actinopteri; Cypriniformes; Cyprinidae. The record is from RefSeq and is a predicted model, not a curated record.